Long non-coding RNA from Rhineura floridana, 1181 nucleotides. RefSeq lists it as uncharacterized. The transcript is spliced from 3 exons. NCBI's taxonomy places the organism in Eukaryota, Metazoa, Chordata, Lepidosauria, Squamata, Rhineuridae. The record is from RefSeq and is a predicted model, not a curated record.
AACAGCCCUGUGAGAUAGGUUAGGCAGAGAGAUGGUGACUGGCCCAAGAUCAUCCAAUGAACUCUAUGGCUGAGCAUGUGAGACAGUUUGGCAGGGAGAAAACAAUUUGGCCAAGGACACAGGAUGAUCUUCAUGGAUGAUGAAAGGAUGGGCUCGGGGUUGCCAAGUUUAAAUACAACAUGCCACUGCAGACAUCAUAUUGCCUGCAACCAGGCAGCCAUUCAACACUCAAGAAUAUUCCCCACUCCUAGUGUCAUGCACAUCACAAGCAAAUCCUAAGAGACUUGCUCCGCUGCGGGGCUGCUUCCUUUUUGUUCUUGCAAGGCUUCCAUGGCAGCACAAUUGUGCAUUGAGUGGUGGUGUGGACCGUGACAUAAUUUUGGUGUUUGUGACAUUGCUACACGCAACGACGGGUACCUUGAACUAUAGCAAAUGUGGGGUAUUAUCAGCUGAUAUAGCACAGUGGGGAGGAGAGCCUGGCUGGGAGUCCAGAGUCUGUGAAUUCAAAUCCCCGCUCGUGUCUCCUGGGUGACAAGGGCCAGCUAAAGAUCACCCCCACAGUGAGUGGCUGAGGGGUUAUGUGCCCUGCCACCUGUGCAGCCAUGGGCAAGCUGCGUAGUCCCAAGGAGCCCAGUUGCCCCCCAGCUGGCAGUUGCGGACAAGGAAGGAGCUGGCUUAUGCAGCUGUGGCAAGCUGACCAGGCCCUAGCCAGCUGGGAAGGACUAGCCUCAGAGGAAGGCAAUGGUAAACCCCCUCUGAAUACCGCUUACUAUGAAAUCUCUAUUUAUAGGGUAGCCUUAAGUCGGGAUCAACUUGAAGGCAGUCCAUUUCCAUUUUCAUAUUGGUUGAUGAACGUUGAUAGAGUUGCUAGGGACAUUGUAGGGCUAUCCGUCAGUAUUGUUACAUAUCUUCGUAUUUCCUGCUUCGACAUUGAGAGUGUGUAUGAUCACAAAUACGUGAUCCUGGCAUUAGCCCAGGUCAGUGUAGCAGAACCAUAAGAUGGGCCAGCAUGUGUAAGUAGCCAUAAGUUCUAUCAACAUUAAAACAGCUGAAAUCAGAUGUAACAUGUGCUAUCUGUUGUAAAAGAAAACUCUCUUUAAUGUCAGGAUCCUUGCUAUGUAUUGUAAAAAAUGACAUAUUGUGUCACUUUUGUAUAGCCCACUGCUACUCAAUGUGUUGUA